AUUGAACGCUGGCGGCAUGCCUUACACAUGCAAGUCGAACGGUAACGGGCCUUCGGGUGCCGACGAGUGGCGAACGGGUGAGUAAUACAUCGGAACGUGCCCGAUCGUGGGGGAUAACGAGGCGAAAGCUUUGCUAAUACCGCAUACGAUCUACGGAUGAAAGCAGGGGACCGCAAGGCCUUGCGCGGACGGAGCGGCCGAUGGCAGAUUAGGUAGUUGGUGGGAUAAAAGCUUACCAAGCCGACGAUCUGUAGCUGGUCUGAGAGGAUGAUCAGCCACACUGGGACUGAUACACGGCCCAGACUCCUACGGGAGGCAGCAGUGGGGAAUUUUGGACAAUGGGCGCAAGCCUGAUCCAGCCAUGCCGCGUGCAGGAUGAAGGCCUUCGGGUUGUAAACUGCUUUUGUACGGAACGAAAAGCCUUCUUUUAAUACAGGAGGGUCAUGACGGUACCGUAAGAAUAAGCACCGGCUAACUACGUG
This 482-nucleotide ribosomal RNA is filed under the name uncultured bacterium. Its description in RNAcentral is "partial 16S ribosomal RNA". It matches the Rfam family "Bacterial small subunit ribosomal RNA", at positions 30 to 507 of the family's 1533-position model. The record is from RNAcentral.